Molecule: ribosomal RNA, 253 nt
Filed under: uncultured bacterium
Lineage: Bacteria
Description: partial 16S ribosomal RNA
Rfam family: Bacterial small subunit ribosomal RNA
Source: RNAcentral
UACGGAGGGUGCAAGCGUUGUCCGGAAUCACUGGGCGUAAAGGGCGCGUAGGCGGCCUGGUAAGUAGGGGGUGAAAUCCUGCGGCUUAACCGCAGGGCUGCCUUCUAAACUGUCAGGCUUGAGCACGGUAGAGGCAGAUGGAAUUCCCGGUGUAGCGGUGGAAUGCGUAGAGAUCGGGAAGAACAUCAGUGGCGAAGGCGGUCUGCUGGGCCGCAACUGACGCUGAGGAGCGAAAGCAUGGGGAGCGAACAGG